GACGAACGCUGGCGGCGUGCUUAACACAUGCAAGUCGAACGGAAAGGCCCUGCUUUUGUGGGGUGCUCGAGUGGCGAACGGGUGAGUAACACGUGAGUAACCUGCCCUUGACUUUGGGAUAACUUCAGGAAACUGGGGCUAAUACCGGAUAGGAGCUCCUGCUGCAUGGUGGGGGUUGGAAAGUUUCGGCGGUUGGGGAUGGACGCGCGGCUUAUCAGCUUGUUGGUGGGGUAGUGGCUUACCAAGGCUUUGACGGGUAGCCGGCCUGAGGGGGUGACCGGCCACAGUGGGACUGAGAUACGGCCCAGACUCCUACGGGAGGCAGCAGUGGAGAAUAUUGCACAAUGGGCGGAAGCCUGAUGCAGCAACGCCGCGGGCGGGAUGACGGCCUUCGGGGUGUAAACCGCUUUCGCCUGUGACGAAGCGUGAGUGACGGUAAUGGGUAAAGAAGCACCAGCUAACUACGUG
Molecule: ribosomal RNA, 468 nt
Filed under: uncultured bacterium
Lineage: Bacteria
Description: partial 16S ribosomal RNA
Rfam family: Bacterial small subunit ribosomal RNA
Source: RNAcentral